This 302-nucleotide ribosomal RNA is filed under the name uncultured bacterium. RNAcentral describes it as "partial 16S ribosomal RNA". It matches the Rfam family "Bacterial small subunit ribosomal RNA", at positions 508 to 807 of the family's 1533-position model. The record is from RNAcentral.
GCAGCCGCCGCGGGAAUACAGAGGGUGCGAGCGUUAAUCGGAUUUACUGGGCGUAAAGCGUGCGUAGGCGGCUUUUUAAGUCGGAUGUGAAAUCCCUGAGCUUAACUUAGGAAUUGCAUUCGAUACUGGGAAGCUAGAGUAUGGGAGAGGAUGGUAGAAUUCCAGGUGUAGCGGUGAAAUGCGUAGAGAUCUGGAGGAAUACCGAUGGCGAAGGCAGCCAUCUGGCCUAAUACUGACGCUGAGGUACGAAAGCAUGGGGAGCAAACAGGAUUAGAUACCCGUGUAGUCCCUGUCUCUUAUAC